RNAcentral lists this ribosomal RNA (1188 nucleotides) under Triticum aestivum (bread wheat). RNAcentral's name for it is "partial small subunit ribosomal RNA". Lineage: Eukaryota; Viridiplantae; Streptophyta; Magnoliopsida; Poales; Poaceae. The record is from RNAcentral.
AUGGCACGCCGUGGUUUUUUUGGGUAUGAUCCCUACGACUGCUACUACCCUGCGUCGCCCUACGCCUACGAUUACGAUCCAUACUACCACAGUCCCGCCGUCGACGCGUUCUUCGCCGAGCCGCUCGUGACGGCCCGCCGGAGGGCCCCGACGCAGCACGACGACGGCUUCUUCCCUGGAUUCAGAGUCUCCGAGCCGGCGGCGCGGACCAGGGCGCGUCCCAGGCCCAGCAGCGGGUCCCCGAAGAGCUGCCCCGACUGCUACGAGGUGGAGGUCACAGGGCCCGAGCCUGACUCGCCGCCCGCGGUGCCGAGGAAGCCGGCGCCGUCAGCGGAGGAGGCCGCGGCGAGGGUGCAGGCGGCGGCGCGCGGGCUGCUCGCUCGUCGCAUGGUGCGGGAGGUGCGUGCGGUGGAGCGCCAGGCCGAGGCCGUGGCCGCGAGGGUGGCGGCCGAGGCGGAGGCGCUCCGCGAGGACGCCCGUGCGCGGAUCGGCCUCGGGGAGGAGCUCAUGCGGCUGCUGCUCCGUCUCGACGGCGUGCGCGGUGCCCGGGAGUACCGCAGGAGGGUCACCAGGCGCGUGCUCACGCUCCAGGACGCAGUUGACGCUCUCGAGGCCGCGCCCGCGGUGGUGACCGCCGAUGCGCCGGAAGUUCAUAAUGCAGAGGAAGAAGCGGAGGAUGGGAUGGAACCGGAGUUGGAGCUGCCGGUUGAGGACAACACUGCGGCUGAUCCUCUGGUUGCCGAGACAACUGACACGGCGGCAAUGGAGGUUGACGUGGCGAGCCCCGUCGUCCUCGUCGUCGACGAGGCCGAGAUCGAACUGGUGGCGGAAGGGGAGAAGGCCUCGGAGGCGGAGGGGGAGUGGGAGAUGGUGGCGACGGGAGACGGCGACGUCUCCACUGGCGAGAAGGAACCUACACCACCCAAAGCGCAGCAGCAGCAAGAACAGGCACAGGAGGAGAAGAAAACAGUGACCACCGACGGGCUGGAUGCGAAGAAACUGAUGGAGAUGGUGGCGGCACUGUGCGAGCGGAGCGCGCAGCAGUGCACUCUGAUCGGCUCCCUGGCGGAGCGGGUGGACAUGCUGGAGCGCGCCGUCCGGCGGGUGGAAGAGGCCGACCGGCGCAGGCAGAGGAGCAUGAAGACCAAUAAGGACGGCAAGAAGAACACUAGCUUCUACAGCGACUAG